RNAcentral lists this long non-coding RNA (1263 nucleotides) under Marmota monax (woodchuck). Lineage: Eukaryota; Metazoa; Chordata; Mammalia; Rodentia; Sciuridae. The record is from RNAcentral.
AUCCCUCUUAUUGCAAUCAUAUGCAUUAUUAAAUUGAGAAACAGAAUCUUUCUAAAAUUCCAAAUGAAAAUACAUAGAAAUUCAUGGAAGCCACUUGAGGUUGGGAGUCAGUUUCAGCUUGACCUCUUUGAAAAAAAAAAAAAAGAACCACUGUACUUGCAUUUUAAAGCAAAACUACUUUCUCUUUUUCAAGAAAGGCAAAGGAAAAUUAUGUUCUGAUUCCAGACACCAUGGCGCUCUGUGAACUUAGCCUAUUAAUUUACUAUAAAUCUAAGCUAAAGCACAUACUUACUUUGGCAUCAUAAAAUGAAUCAUAGAUUUAAAUCAAGCAGAGAAACACACAAACAAACCUAAUCAGAGAAUUUGCAUUACCAAGUAAAAUUACUGAAUUUCUGAUAUAAACUGGGUUAACAGCCUGUUCAUCAUUAAAAUCAUGGACAGUCCUGCAUGGGUUGGGUUAAUAAUCCCAGUUGAUUUUAUUAUGUAAAGGUUAACAAUAGACAGACCAGUGCUAAUGCUUGUGUUUUAAAUCAUGUUCCAAAAAAAAAAAAAAAAAUCCUUAACAGUCUCAUGGCCACCAGAUACUUUUCCUUGCACAUGGAUAUCUGUUGAUGAUUUCACUAUGAAAAUUAGCUGUAGAAAUUUCUUACAAUACCCCAAAUUUGUAUCCUGAUGCUAGUUUUCUAAAAAGUCCCCUCAAAGUAUUAAUAUUUAUCUUUCUUAAAUCUCUCAGGAUCGGUAUUUGAAAGAAAGAACAUAAAACUGAUUAAGAAGGUCAAACUGCCCUUUGGAUCAGACAGUACUCUUUAGGGACUGUACCUACUCUUCUGUGACCUGGCAGAAGACAUACAAGUGAUAUCAGCAGGAUUUGAAAACUUCCACAAUGUGUGACCAUCCUGGAAAAGAAUCCAAACCUCUGUUCACUAGAAAUUUGUAAACUUGGUUUCCUGCUUCUGUAAGCUAGAGGCAUCGAUCUCAGGGGCUUUUGUGAAAAUUAAGUAAAAUAAUGUAUUUAAAAUUUGCAUAUACUGUUUUCAGUUGAAUAUUUUCUCAAUAAUAGAGUUCCCAUUCUCCUUGAUUUCAAUUCAAAUUAAGGUUGGGAAUUUCAAUAAAGUGAUACAUAGAUAGUAUAAGGUAGAAAUUGAUGAAAUGACAAAUAUCAAUAAGAGCCAUGGGAACCCUGAGAAGGCAGAAGUCACUGGGGAAUGUGAUGCUUAAUAUAUAAUGAGGCAUUACCUGACAUUUUGGUGGAGCUAAUGCUGA